This 253-nucleotide ribosomal RNA is filed under the name uncultured bacterium. Its description in RNAcentral is "partial 16S ribosomal RNA". It matches the Rfam family "Bacterial small subunit ribosomal RNA", at positions 524 to 776 of the family's 1533-position model. The record is from RNAcentral.
GACGGAAGGUGCAAGCGUUGCUCGGAAUCACUGGGCGUAAAGGGUGCGUAGGCGGCUUGGUAAGUUGGGUGUGAAAGCCCCGGGCUCAGCCCGGGAAGGGCACUCGAAACUGCCGAGCUGGAGUGCCGGAGGGGAGAGUGGAAUUCCUGGUGUAGCGGUGAAAUGCGCAGAUAUCAGGAGGAACACCGGUGGCGAAGGCGGGUCUCUGGGCCGAUACUGACGCUGAGGAGCGAAAGCGUGGGGAGCGAACAGG